Long non-coding RNA from Haliotis rufescens (red abalone), 399 nucleotides. RefSeq lists it as uncharacterized. NCBI's taxonomy places the organism in Eukaryota, Metazoa, Mollusca, Gastropoda, Lepetellida, Haliotidae. The record is from RefSeq and is a predicted model, not a curated record. The transcript has 2 exons.
AUGUUUCAAUGUUCUAGUUGCACUGUAUUCUUGUUUUCCCCAAGGCAAGUGAUGUGAUUCAACCAGAUCUUAUAACUUUCUUAUUAAGGUACCUAUUAAAACAGAUCUUUUAACAUCCCCAUUAAAGUAGCUAGAGGCAUGUAUGUUUCAAUUUUCUAGUUGCGCUGGAUUGUUUGUUCCCAUAAAUAGAGAUGAUGUAAUUACACCAGUGCUUAUGGCUUUCUUAUUAAGGUAGCUAGAGGCAUGUAUGUGUCAAUUUUCUAGUUGCACUGGAUUGUUUGUUCCCCAAAAUAGAGAUGAUAUAAUUAUACCAGUGCUUAUGACUUUCUUAUUAAGGUUGCUAGAGACAUGGAUGUUUCAUCUUUUUAGUUGCACUGGAUUGUUUGUUCCCCAAAUAGA